RNAcentral lists this ribosomal RNA (497 nucleotides) under uncultured bacterium. Its description in RNAcentral is "partial 16S ribosomal RNA". It matches the Rfam family "Bacterial small subunit ribosomal RNA", at positions 28 to 507 of the family's 1533-position model. The record is from RNAcentral.
GAUGAACGCUGGCGGCGUGCCUAAUACAUGCAAGUCGAGCGAACGGACGAGAAGCUUGCUUCUCUGAUGUUAGCGGCGGACGGGUGAGUAACACGUGGAUAACCUACCUAUAAGACUGGGAUAACUUCGGGAAACCGGAGCUAAUACCGGAUAAUAUUUUGAACCGCAUGGUUCAAAAGUGAAAGACGGUCUUGCUGUCACUUAUAGAUGGAUCCGCGCUGCAUUAGCUAGUUGGUAAGGUAACGGCUUACCAAGGCAACGAUGCAUAGCCGACCUGAGAGGGUGAUCGGCCACACUGGAACUGAGACACGGUCCAGACUCCUACGGGAGGCAGCAGUAGGGAAUCUUGCGCAAUGGGCGAAAGCCUGACGGAGCAACGCCGCGUGAGUGAUGAAGGUCUUCGGAUCGUAAAACUCUGUUAGUAGGGAAGAACAUAUGUGUAAGUAACUGUGCACAUCUUGACGGUACCUAAUCAGAAAGCCACGGCUAACUACGUG